AUUGAACGCUGGCGGCAUGCCUUACACAUGCAAGUCGAACGGCAGCACGGGGGCAACCCUGGUGGCGAGUGGCGAACGGGUGAGUAAUAUAUCGGAACGUGCCCUGGAGUGGGGGAUAACUAGUCGAAAGACUAGCUAAUACCGCAUACGAUCUACGGAUGAAAGUGGGGGAUCGCAAGACCUCAUGCUCGUGGAGCGGCCGAUAUCUGAUUAGCUAGUUGGUGGGGUAAAAGCCUACCAAGGCAUCGAUCAGUAGCUGGUCUGAGAGGACGACCAGCCACACUGGGACUGAGACACGGCCCAGACUCCUACGGGAGGCAGCAGUGGGGAAUUUUGGACAAUGGGGGCAACCCUGAUCCAGCAAUGCCGCGUGAGUGAAGAAGGCCUUCGGGUUGUAAAGCUCUUUUGUCAGGGAAGAAACGGUCUGGGCUAAUACCCUGGGCUAAUGGCGGUACCUGAAGAAUAAGCACCGGCUAACUACGUGCCAGCAGCCGCGGUAAUACGUAGGGUGCAAGCGUUAAUCGGAAUUACUGGGCGUAAAGCGUGCGCAGGCGGUUGUGCAAGACAGAUGUGAAAUCCCCGGGCUUAACCUGGGAAUUGCAUUUGUGACUGCACGGCUAGAGUGUGUCAGAGGGGGGUAGAAUUCCACGUGUAGCAGUGAAAUGCGUAGAGAUGUGGAGGAAUACCGAUGGCGAAGGCAGCCCCCUGGGAUAACACUGACGCUCAUGCACGAAAGCGUGGGGAGCAAACAGG
Molecule: ribosomal RNA, 753 nt
Filed under: uncultured Burkholderiales bacterium
Lineage: Bacteria; Pseudomonadati; Pseudomonadota; Betaproteobacteria; Burkholderiales
Description: bacterial SSU rRNA
Rfam family: Bacterial small subunit ribosomal RNA
Source: RNAcentral